CACAUCACGUUGGAACACCUGUUCCAUUACAAUCGCCGAAGUUAAGCAGCGCUGAGCCUGAUAAGUAACUAGAUGGGUGACCGCUUGGGAAUACCAGGUGCUGUAGG
This is a non-coding RNA of Acanthosepion pharaonis, 107 nucleotides long. Lineage: Eukaryota; Metazoa; Mollusca; Cephalopoda; Sepiida; Sepiidae. The record is from the annotation of a GenBank genome assembly.